UACGUAGGGUGCAAGCGUUGUCCGGAAUUAUUGGGCGUAAAGGGCGCGUAGGCGGGAUGGCAAGUCGGUCGUGAAAUCCUUCGGCUCAACCGAAGAACGUCGGCCGAUACUGCCGUUCUUGAGGGAUGCAGAGGAGAUUGGAAUUCCCGGUGUAGCGGUGAAAUGUGUAGAGAUCGGGAGGAACACCGGUGGCGAAGGCGGGUCUCUGGGCAUCUCCUGACGCUGAGGCGCGAAAGCGUGGGGAGCAAACGGG
Molecule: ribosomal RNA, 253 nt
Filed under: uncultured bacterium
Lineage: Bacteria
Description: partial 16S ribosomal RNA
Rfam family: Bacterial small subunit ribosomal RNA
Source: RNAcentral